AAAACAACAACAAAAAUACUAAGCCUUUGGGAUCAGACUCACGCUCGCACGAAAAACGGGUAGAUCAGCCUAUGUUUUUCUACUACGAAUGCUAUUUACAUAGGGAAGUUUUGCCUCGUAAAAGUUUCGUGAAAAGUUUUCCAUUGACCAUGGUGAUUAACAACGUACCUUUGUCAGGCUGAAUAUCUUCAUCCACGAAGACAUCAUUAUCAUCAAGACGGUUUGGGUUUCCUCCUCCAUCCGUUCCCAUCGCGACUCUCCGCCGUCUUCGGGCCGCUACUGUCGUCGUUGCAAUAGCGAUCAAAUAUAGCAGCAAAAGUGACAAGGCUAACAACGCCAAUAUAGGCAAGAGGUCGUCCUUUUUGUCGCAACAACCAUAACUACUUCCACCGCCAUAACUACUCCCACCGCCAUAACUACUCCCACCGCCGUAACUACUCCCACCACCGUAACCAGAGGACGAAGAAUAGCCACCGCCGUAACCACUUCGAUCGGGUUGCAUCUCUUCUGGAUAUUUGUUGUACUGAUUGUACAUUGGAGGACGCCUGCCAGCACCUCGUUUUCUGCUUUCACCGAACAUUUCUCUGGCCAUCCGCCUAUUCAGUCUUGACGUGGAGGUCUCCAUAUUUUUCUUUUGGAAGAUACCCAUCAAAGGUGUGACAUAGAGCAGCAUCCGUUUCAAUUCAAGCUCCGAUUCAAGUUCAUCUUCCACUUCUUCGGCUGCGCUCUUGUCCGGUAAUUUAUUGUAGGAAAAAGACGACAUAUUGCGUUCAGUUGUGGCAGUCUGUCCGUCCAUCGAGGGGUCAGCUGCAUGACCGACAAUAAGAAUUAACAGUAGACUACAUGCAGUUUGUGUGCGAAGGAACUUGAUCAUUUUGUUUGCCUUCCGACUUAACUGUAAUAUGCAAACGUUUUAGAAGCAGGAAGGGAGACGGUCAGCCUGCAUUUGACGCUGGAUGAAAAUUAACUGACUGAAGCUGUGUGUCUGUGAAUGUUCUUCACUCCCAUAGAAGUAUAAUGUUAACGUUAGACUGGACAUCCUGCCGGAAGCUCCUCCUCUUGCUUGAACACGCUGCGACCCAGCAGGCAAAAGAUUCUUUAAAUCAAUUGUUUUUCUUCGCGUGUAACACAAAUCUAACGGUACAAGAUGUUGGUUUAAAUACAUUGUACACUUCUUUAGUUAAUCCGCAUAUGAACCCACGAAGAGAUGCUGAAUUUUUUUGUAACCAGCGCACCCUGCGGAUGCAUGCAUGCAAAAGAUAAAUUUGUGGAUUUCCUUGACUACAUUAACGAUUUAUUGGCCAUGACCUUGUGGAAGUACAUCGCCAUCGAUAUGUACCGUUAGUGACGUUAAGAAUAGUGCCACGAGAAAAUAUAGACAUCAUGAAUUGUAUCUUUACACAUAAAAUGACAGGAAUGUGCCAACUCUAGAUCACGGCAGAAUCAAUGAGACGUGACACAAGUGACAUUUAUUGUACGACAAUAAAUCACGGGAGAGCAGCACUUGUUGGCUUGUCAAUUGCUACAUGUAUCGCCUAGUUGGGCUAUGAAAAUUCGGAGUCAACAGAUCUUGAGCCUGAUGCUUAGGCAAAAUGUUGCUGCCUCUCACAUCCGUCCUGAAAAACAAAACGAGAA
Molecule: long non-coding RNA, 1635 nt
Filed under: Daphnia magna
Lineage: Eukaryota; Metazoa; Arthropoda; Branchiopoda; Diplostraca; Daphniidae
Description: uncharacterized LOC116936642, transcript variant X1
Source: RNAcentral